Molecule: RNA transcript, 1888 nt
Organism: Rhododendron vialii
Lineage: Eukaryota; Viridiplantae; Streptophyta; Magnoliopsida; Ericales; Ericaceae
Exons: 7
Source: RefSeq, a predicted model, not a curated record
CUCUCUCCGAGGAACAGAGUUCACGGAGAAGGUCUCCGGUCUGAACGAAUGAGGAGCUCACCAUGGUGGAGCGCAACCUCCUCUCCGUCGCCUACAAGAAUAUCAUGGGCGCCCGCCGCGCCUCCUGGCGCAUCAUUUCCUCCAUCGACCAGAAGGAGGAGUCCUGCGGCAACGCCGUCCAUGUUGCCGCCUCUAGCCCUCCUCGAUCUACGAGCUGCUCGAUUCCAAGCUCAUCCCGUUCGCCACCUCCGGAGACUCCGGAAAUCACUUUUGUUUUCUUCUCUUAGCAAGGACAAUGGGAAUUUGAAUCCUCACGCUUUAGGAAAUGGAGAAAGAAAUGGUGUGGACACCAUUGAAUAGGUAAGUCAGUUGGUUCAUUUGUUUGAGAGAUUUUAGAUGUGAAGUUUACUUUUAAUUUUUGGUUGUUUGCUUUGGUUUCUUUUAUCAUCGGCCUUAUUACUCAAAAGUAUAGAUUGACACCAUUGAAUAUAAUUCCCAAAGCUGUGGAUGGAAAAUCGAGUGCCACAUUGACUUUCAUAUACAAUCAAUCAUUACUUCAAUUUUUUUUAAACUUUGAGUGCAGAGUGCAUCUGGUCCAUUUCCCCUUCUCCUUUGUCUCCCAUCGGCAUGGGAGCGAGGUCAAGGAAGGACUAGCAGAACACUCUUCUAUCUCCUCUUUUUCUCCAUAUCUACUUCUUCUCCUAAUCUUUUACGGACACCACCAUACCUACACUGCCCAAACUGCAACAUUGACUGUUGAGUUCGUUUUACAGAUUUUGGGAUUUGGAAUUAAUUGGAUGUAUGAAUUGGGUGUAUGAAAAAUUUUCUUUUGUGUAGUAUCGGUCUGUCUUGGCUCUGCGUUUGUUUGCCGAAUUCGCAUGAUUUUCUCUUUUUCAUGUUCAUCAUUGUAGGGUCUUGGUAUUUGUGAAAUUUUAUUGGGAAUAAAGAAAUGAGUCGAAAUCCCUUGGGCAAAUAUGAAUUUUGUUAGUACUUUUGUUGGCUAUUUUUUCAUUUCUUUUUUAGAUCUUUUUGUCCCCUCCAAGAGUUGAUUCUUUUGUGCAUUUGUGGCCUUCUUGAAGUUGCAUUAGACAUAAACAGUUCUAAGGGAGAGAAUGCGUAGUAUAUAUCCAAAAGAAAAUUCCUUUUCUUUCAAUCUUGACUCUCCAAUUCUACACAUCCAAGGGUCCAAAAAAUGUCCCUCUCACAAACUAACUUUUGAAUGGCAGUUUGGUAAAUAAUCUGUAUUUUUUAAAUGUCAAAAGAAGGAAGUGGUUAAGGGCUAAGAUUGAAACCAGGAGGCUUCAUGGUUGAGGUUUCAAAGCCCUAGCUAUAGUUUUUGUGAGGGUGUUUGGCGAACCAUCAAUCCUGCCAAAAGUCGACCACUUCUGUUGCUCUCAGAGGAAAUCGUUGGGUGGCCAAACCCAUGCAUUUCAAGAGAAUCUAACAGAUAUCAAAAGAGGAAGGUAGAUUGAAGAAGGAUGAAGAAGAGAAAAAAGAAAGUGUGAGCAUGAGGAGCAGUGGGUGCCUUCAAGAAGACGAAGGGCUACAAAAGGCUACCAAAAGAAAGUCAGCUUCAUCCCCAAAUCUGAAGCAUUAGUAUUGCCGAUUGCCAUGGUCUUCAGCAGUAUCUACCCGUGCAUGUUGAGGAGGCAUUGCACUUGCGAGAGAUCGAAUAUGCAAGUCGAAAAUAGAUGUCAAUGAUUUUGGAGAUGGAGCUAUUGGGUCCUUUGUUAGACUGAUGAGGUCAAUAGUAAAAUAGAGUAGUUGGUUUAGAUUGGUACGAGCCAUAGCACAUGCAAUUGUACAGUUUCUUUGAUUUGUAUUCCCUAACUUAAAAAAAAUUGCUUGAUUGAAUUGGAAUUCAAUGCACUAAAUUUUGAUGAUCCUA